CCUACGGGGGGCAGCAGUGGGGAAUAUUGCACAAUGGGGGAAACCCUGAUGCAGCGACGCCGCGUGAAGGAAGAAGUAUUUCGGUAUGUAAACUUCUAUCAGCAGGGAAGAAAAUGACGGUACCUGACUAAGAAGCCCCGGCUAACUACGUGCCAGCAGCCGCAGUAAUACGUAGGGGGCAAGCGUUAUCCGGAUUUACUGGGUGUAAAGGGAGCGUAGGCGGCUUAGCAAGUCAGAAGUGAAAGCCCGGGGCUCAACUCCGGGACUGCUUUUGAAACUGUGGAACUGGAGUGCAGGAGAGGUAAGUGGAAUUCCUGGUGUAGCGGUGAAAUGCGUAGAUAUUAGGAGGAACACCAGUGGCGAAGGCGGCUUACUGGACUGUAAAUGACGCUGAGGCUCGAAAGCGUGGGGAGCAAACAGGAUUAGAUACCCCGGUAGUC
This 440-nucleotide ribosomal RNA is filed under the name uncultured bacterium. Its description in RNAcentral is "partial 16S ribosomal RNA". It matches the Rfam family "Bacterial small subunit ribosomal RNA", at positions 338 to 795 of the family's 1533-position model. The record is from RNAcentral.